UGAUCCCCUCCUACCCACCUUACACUCCCUCUUUCCCCGUCUACCAGGUGUGUCUGUGUGUGCAUCUGCUCUUGGUGGUUGUGCCUGAUUGUGCCAUCUUCAUUUUCCUGUUCACUUCCGAAUCGUCGCUCAGCCGCCCGCUGAGCUCCCCCAAACAACAAUACAGAGGAAACUCACACAAGUUUUUGCAGAAAUGGCGACCAACCCCGAUAUUGAGACCGAUAUUCCUCGCGAUGUGUACCAGUUCUUUCGUGGACUGAACCGCGCGGUGGAGCGCCGCGACGCGGCGGCGAUGCACGACCUCUACGAGUCGCAGUUUGAUGCGCUUACCAAGAAUUAUUACAUGGCCGGCCACGGUCAGUUUCGCUCCUGGCCGGCGCUCCGCCUUGAGCAGGUGUCGUCGUGCUUUCGUGGCAACCGCAUGGCGGAGCUGGUCUACAGUUUCCUCUUCUACAAGCACCUGUUCAUGGACAACCGCUCCGUGAGGGCUCCCGACGCGGAGGGGGCGUGGAAGACGUACAGUGAGCUCCUCCCGAUGCUGAAGAGCUACGAGCUGCCGAACUGGAUGCUGUGGGACAUCUUUGAUGAGUUUCUCUAUCAGAUGACGGUGGUGUAUCAGAAGGUCUUUGCCACGGAGGGCAUCUGGGCUGUGCCGGAGGUGUCGCGUCUUCUCAACGAGGUCGUCGACAACUCACGCCUGCUCGAGCUGGUGAAGGAGCCGGACUUUCUGGACGACAUUCACCGCGGCCCGAACACAGGUGCGCUUAGCGGCUUCUACGCAAUUGUGACCAAGUCGAAGCUGAACGUGCUCCUCGGCGACUACUACUCCGCCCUCACGGACUUGGAGCCCCUCGACGUGUACAACAAGGGCCGUGCCGUGCUGACGCGGGUGUCGCCGUGCGCGGUCUCCGUGUUCUACCACAUCGGCUUCAGCUAUCUGAUGAUCCACCGCUUCGAGGACGCCAGCAACGCCUUCCGCCGCUGCGUCACGGUGAAGCUUAACGGCCGUCGCUUCUCCGAGCGCGUGCAGCAGGAUGCGGCAUACAUGUACGUCUGCGCUCGUGUGCUGGGUGGCAUGCCGAUCAACAACCUCACCUCAUACCUCGACAGCCGCAAGGUGGCCGCCUUCGAGGACGACCGCGAAAGCCUGCGCACCGGUGACGAGGAGCGCUUCCGUGACGUGUUUGACCGCUGUAGCCCCAAAUUUCUCACUGUGCCGCCGUCGGAUGGGUCGCCGGUGAAGGGGUCGGAGGGUCGCGAGCUGCAGGCGCGCAUGUUCCGUCGCGCGGUGCAGCAGCAGCAGGACAUCAUCAAGCUUCGCGGGUACUUCAAGGUGUACCAGAACACCAAGAUGAACCUUCUCGAGACGCUGCUGGAGGUCGACGAUGGCUAUGCGCCGCUGUUCGCACUCAAGAUGCGCUCUCGCCAGCUGGUUCACGACGGCGUGACGGCGGACCUGCUGCAGGGCGUCUUCACGUCUAGCUCCGAGUUCGACUGCAUUGUGCAGGAUGACAACGUCGAGGUGGUGCCCAGUAUGACGUUUGGCGGCAUAGAGCAGAAGCUGCUGAACAAGAUCAAGAACACGCAGCGCGACAUCGACAUGGCGAAGCGCAAGUUCAACCAGACCCGCAACCGCGAUGAAGGCGGCAACAAGCGCAGGGAUCAGCGCGACCAGAAGCGUCGCCCCAAUCAGCAGCAGCUGCACGGCGGCGUCGGCAAUAACGCCGGCAGCGCGAACAGGAACAACAACAACGCGAACCGCUACCCGCGUCAGAAGAUGGCUGCGCAGCCUAUGACAAGCAACCUCUUCAACCGUAACGACAACUGAGCGCGGCGACACUGGACGCUGCAAGCUCGGCGGCUGUGAAGGGCGGUCGCUUGCGUAGAGGAAUGCCUGAGAGUGCCCCCCUACGACGCUGAUGUCUGCGAUAGCACCGCCGAGGGAGUGCGUUGCCCGUGCGCCUGUCCGAGUUUCACAUGCACGUCUCUGUAUUUCUUUUUUUUGGUUUUCGUGAUCUUCCGUGUGUCGCCGUGUAUGCGCCCGGCCGAGUGAGGCGCUAACUACCCAAGCGCGUGUGCGUGCGUGUGUGUGUGUGGUGUCUGUGUGCGUGUAUUUUUGGGUGGGUGUGAGGUUCUUUCUCUUUGAAUUUUAAGUAAAGUUGGGGAGUGGCUGUGCCGUGAAUGCAAAACUGCCGCUGCAACUCGUCAGGAAGACGAAAAGAGAGGGAGAGCGCAUGCGAGAGACGGGAGCGUUGCGGUGAGUGGACAAGGCCAUUUCUUGAUGUUCAAGAAGAGAUGUGCACACGCACGCGUGUCUCGCUCUCGCUUUUUCUUUUUCACUCGUGCGCCUGCGUAUGCGUGCGCGCUCGUCUCUUCUCUGCUUUCUGUUUGCCUUUUUGUUGUGACCCCGCGUGUGUGCAUGUGUGUCCCUAAAAGCUUCUAACUAUUCCCAUCGCUUCAGUGAAAGGAAGUGGCUAACGAAUCAACAUGAUAGCGCUGCCGCACAUCCCCUACACACAUACACGCUCCCUAAAGGCAUCCCACAGGAGAGGGGGAGAAGCUUCUUUGCAGGCUUGUGUGUAUGUGUGCGUGGCAUCUUCCUCGACGGUGCAUCGGCGUAGCGCCUCUAUCG
This 2632-nucleotide unclassified non-coding RNA is filed under the name Leishmania donovani. Its description in RNAcentral is "gene:LdHU3.36.0390(CDS-product:eukaryotic_transla tion_initiation_factor_3_subunit_L_putative)". The record is from RNAcentral. Lineage: Eukaryota; Euglenozoa; Kinetoplastea; Trypanosomatida; Trypanosomatidae.